RNAcentral lists this ribosomal RNA (429 nucleotides) under Gemmatimonadota bacterium. RNAcentral's name for it is "Gemmatimonadetes bacterium partial 16S ribosomal RNA". It matches the Rfam family "Bacterial small subunit ribosomal RNA", at positions 355 to 776 of the family's 1533-position model. Lineage: Bacteria; Pseudomonadati; Gemmatimonadota. The record is from RNAcentral.
UAGGGAAUCUUCGGCAAUGGACGAAAGUCUGACCGAGCAACGCCGCGUGAGUGAAGAAGGUUUUCGGAUCGUAAAACUCUGUUGUUAGAGAAGAACAAGGACGUUAGUAACUGAACGUCCCCUGACGGUAUCUAACCAGAAAGCCACGGCUAACUACGUGCCAGCAGCCGCGGUAAUACGUAGGUGGCAAGCGUUGUCCGGAUUUAUUGGGCGUAAAGCGAGCGCAGGCGGUUUCUUAAGUCUGAUGUGAAAGCCCCCGGCUCAACCGGGGAGGGUCAUUGGAAACUGGGAGACUUGAGUGCAGAAGAGGAGAGUGGAAUUCCAUGUGUAGCGGUAAAAUGCGUAGAUAUAUGGAGGAACACCAGUGGCGAAGGCGGCUCUCUGGUCUGUAACUGACGCUGAGGCUCGAAAGCGUGGGAAGCAAACAGG